UGGCUCAGGUGGUAGAGAAUCUGCCUGUAAAGCAGAGGACCUGGGUUCGAUCCCUG
Molecule: transfer RNA, 56 nt
Filed under: Bos taurus (domestic cattle)
Lineage: Eukaryota; Metazoa; Chordata; Mammalia; Artiodactyla; Bovidae
Also listed under: 5 other names
Rfam family: tRNA
About the family: Transfer RNA (tRNA) molecules are approximately 80 nucleotides in length. Their secondary structure includes four short double-helical elements and three loops (D, anti-codon, and T loops). Further hydrogen bonds mediate the characteristic L-shaped molecular structure. tRNAs have two regions of fundamental functional importance: the anti-codon, which is responsible for specific mRNA codon recognition, and the 3' end, to which the tRNAs corresponding amino acid is attached (by aminoacyl-tRNA synthetases). tRNAs cope with the degeneracy of the genetic code in two manners: having more than one tRNA (with a specific anti-codon) for a particular amino acid; and 'wobble' base-pairing, i.e. permitting non-standard base-pairing at the 3rd anti-codon position.
Source: Rfam by way of RNAcentral